AUUGAACGCUGGCGGCAGGCCUAACACAUGCAAGUCGAACGGUAGCACAGAGAGCUUGCUCUCGGGUGACGAGUGGCGGACGGGUGAGUAAUGUCUGGGAAACUGCCCGAUGGAGGGGGAUAACUACUGGAAACGGUAGCUAAUACCGCAUAACGUCGCAAGACCAAAGAGGGGGACCUUCGGGCCUCUUGCCAUCGGAUGUGCCCAGAUGGGAUUAGCUUGUAGGUGAGGUAACGGCUCACCUAGGCGACGAUCCCUAGCUGGUCUGAGAGGAUGACCAGCCACACUGGAACUGAGACACGGUCCAGACUCCUACGGGAGGCAGCAGUGGGGAAUAUUGCACAAUGGGCGCAAGCCUGAUGCAGCCAUGCCGCGUGUAUGAAGAAGGCCUUCGGGUUGUAAAGUACUUUCAGCGGGGAGGAAGGGAGUGAGGUUAAUAACCUCAUUCAUUGACGUUACCCGCAGAAGAAGCACCGGCUAACUCCGUGCCUGCAGUCGCGGUAAUACGGAGGGUGCGAGCGUUAACCGGAAUUACUGGGCGUAAGCGCACGCAGGCGGUCUGUCAGUCGGAUGUGAAAUCCCCGGGCUCAUUCUGGGAACUGCAUUCGAAACUGGCAGGCUGGAGUCUUGUAGAGGGGGGUAGAAUUCCAGGUGUAGCGGUGAAAUGCGUAGAGAUCUGGAGGAAUACCGGUGGCGAAGGCGGCCCCCUGGACAAAGACUGACGCUCAGGUGCGAAAGCGCGGGGAGCAAACAGGAUUAGAUACCCUGGUAGUCCACGCUGUAAACGAUGUCGACUUGGAGGUUGUUCCCUUGAGGAGUGGCUUCCGGAGCUAACGCGUUAAGUCGACCGCCUGGGGAGUACGGCCGCAAGGUUAAAACUCAAAUGAAUUGACGGGGGCCCGCACAAGCGGUGGAGCAUGUGGUUUAAUUCGAUGCAACGCGAAGAACCUUACCUACUCUUGACAUCCAGAGAACUUAGCAGAGAUGCUUUGGUGCCUUCGGGAACUCUGAGACAGGUGCUGCAUGGCUGUCGUCAGCUCGUGUUGUGAAAUGUUGGGUUAAGUCCCGCAACGAGCGCAACCCUUAUCCUUUGUUGCCAGCGAUUCGGUCGGGAACUCAAAGGAGACUGCCAGUGAUAAACUGGAGGAAGGUGGGGAUGACGUCAAGUCAUCAUGGCCCUUACGAGUAGGGCUACACACGUGCUACAAUGGCAUAUACAAAGAGAAGCGACCUCGCGAGAGCAAGCGGACCUCAUAAAGUAUGUCGUAGUCCGGAUUGGAGUCUGCAACUCGACUCCAUGAAGUCGGAAUCGCUAGUAAUCGUGGAUCAGAAUGCCACGGUGAAUACGUUCCCGGGCCU
Molecule: ribosomal RNA, 1359 nt
Filed under: uncultured bacterium
Lineage: Bacteria
Description: bacterial SSU rRNA
Rfam family: Bacterial small subunit ribosomal RNA
Source: RNAcentral